AGCGUACACGGUGGAUGCCCUGGCAGUCAGAGGCGAUGAAGGACGUGCUAAUCUGCGAUAAGCGUCGGUAAGGUGAUAUGAACCGUUAUAACCGGCGAUUUCCGAAUGGGGAAACCCAGUGUGAUUCGUCACACUAUCAUUAACUGAAUCCAUAGGUUAAUGAGGCGAACCGGGGGAACUGAAACAUCUAAGUACCCCGAGGAAAAGAAAUCAACCGAGAUUCCCCCAGUAGCGGCGAGCGAACGGGGAGGAGCCCAGAGCCUGAAUCAGUGUGUGUGUUAGUGGAAGCGUCUGGAAAGGCGCGCGAUACAGGGUGACAGCCCCGUACACAAAAAUGCACAUGCUGUGAGCUCGAUGAGUAGGGCGGGACACGUGGUAUCCUGUCUGAAUAUGGGGGGACCAUCCUCCAAGGCUAAAUACUCCUGACUGACCGAUAGUGAACCAGUACCGUGAGGGAAAGGCGAAAAGAACCCCGGCGAGGGGAGUGAAAAAGAACCUGAAACCGUGUACGUACAAGCAGUGGGAGCACGCUUCGGCGUGUGACUGCGUACCUUUUGUAUAAUGGGUCAGCGACUUAUAUUCUGUAGCAAGGUUAACCGAAUAGGGGAGCCGAAGGGAAACCGAGUCUUAACUGGGCGUUAAGUUGCAGGGUAUAGACCCGAAACCCGGUGAUCUAGCCAUGGGCAGGUUGAAGGUUGGGUAACACUAACUGGAGGACCGAACCGACUAAUGUUGAAAAAUUAGCGGAUGACUUGUGGCUGGGGGUGAAAGGCCAAUCAAACCGGGAGAUAGCUGGUUCUCCCCGAAAGCUAUUUAGGUAGCGCCUCGUGAAUUCAUCUCCGGGGGUAGAGCACUGUUUCGGCAAGGGGGUCAUCCCGACUUACCAACCCGAUGCAAACUGCGAAUACCGGAGAAUGUUAUCACGGGAGACACACGGCGGGUGCUAACGUCCGUCGUGAAGAGGGAAACAACCCAGACCGCCAGCUAAGGUCCCAAAGUCAUGGUUAAGUGGGAAACGAUGUGGGAAGGCCCAGACAGCCAGGAUGUUGGCUUAGAAGCAGCCAUCAUUUAAAGAAAGCGUAAUAGCUCACUGGUCGAGUCGGCCUGCGCGGAAGAUGUAACGGGGCUAAACCAUGCACCGAAGCUGCGGCAGCGACACUAUGUGUUGUUGGGUAGGGGAGCGUUCUGUAAGCCUGCGAAGGUGUACUGUGAGGUAUGCUGGAGGUAUCAGAAGUGCGAAUGCUGACAUAAGUAACGAUAAAGCGGGUGAAAAGCCCGCUCGCCGGAAGACCAAGGGUUCCUGUCCAACGUUAAUCGGGGCAGGGUGAGUCGACCCCUAAGGCGAGGCCGAAAGGCGUAGUCGAUGGGAAACAGGUUAAUAUUCCUGUACUUGGUGUUACUGCGAAGGGGGGACGGAGAAGGCUAUGUUGGCCGGGCGACGGUUGUCCCGGUUUAAGCGUGUAGGCUGGUUUUCCAGGCAAAUCCGGAAAAUCAAGGCUGAGGCGUGAUGACGAGGCACUACGGUGCUGAAGCAACAAAUGCCCUGCUUCCAGGAAAAGCCUCUAAGCAUCAGGUAACAUCAAAUCGUACCCCAAACCGACACAGGUGGUCAGGUAGAGAAUACCAAGGCGCUUGAGAGAACUCGGGUGAAGGAACUAGGCAAAAUGGUGCCGUAACUUCGGGAGAAGGCACGCUGAUAUGUAGGUGAAGCGACUUGCUCGUGGAGCUGAAAUCAGUCGAAGAUACCAGCUGGCUGCAACUGUUUAUUAAAAACACAGCACUGUGCAAACACGAAAGUGGACGUAUACGGUGUGACGCCUGCCCGGUGCCGGAAGGUUAAUUGAUGGGGUUAGCGGUAACGCGAAGCUCUUGAUCGAAGCCCCGGUAAACGGCGGCCGUAACUAUAACGGUCCUAAGGUAGCGAAAUUCCUUGUCGGGUAAGUUCCGACCUGCACGAAUGGCGUAAUGAUGGCCAGGCUGUCUCCACCCGAGACUCAGUGAAAUUGAACUCGCUGUGAAGAUGCAGUGUACCCGCGGCAAGACGGAAAGACCCCGUGAACCUUUACUAUAGCUUGACACUGAACAUUGAGCCUUGAUGUGUAGGAUAGGUGGGAGGCUUUGAAGUGUGGACGCCAGUCUGCAUGGAGCCGACCUUGAAAUACCACCCUUUAAUGUUUGAUGUUCUAACGUUGGCCCCUGAUCGGGGUUGCGGACAGUGUCUGGUGGGUAGUUUGACUGGGGCGGUCUCCUCCUAAAGAGUAACGGAGGAGCACGAAGGUUGGCUAAUCCUGGUCGGACAUCAGGAGGUUAGUGCAAUGGCAUAAGCCAGCUUGACUGCGAGCGUGACGGCGCGAGCAGGUGCGAAAGCAGGUCAUAGUGAUCCGGUGGUUCUGAAUGGAAGGGCCAUCGCUCAACGGAUAAAAGGUACUCCGGGGAUAACAGGCUGAUACCGCCCAAGAGUUCAUAUCGACGGCGGUGUUUGGCACCUCGAUGUCGGCUCAUCACAUCCUGGGGCUGAAGUAGGUCCCAAGGGUAUGGCUGUUCGCCAUUUAAAGUGGUACGCGAGCUGGGUUUAGAACGUCGUGAGACAGUUCGGUCCCUAUCUGCCGUGGGCGCUGGAGAACUGAGGGGGGCUGCUCCUAGUACGAGAGGACCGGAGUGGACGCAUCACUGGUGUUCGGGUUGUCAUGCCAAUGGCACUGCCCGGUAGCUAAAUGCGGAAGAGAUAAGUGCUGAAAGCAUCUAAGCACGAAACUUGCCCCGAGAUGAGUUCUCCCUGACUCCUUGA
Molecule: ribosomal RNA, 2788 nt
Filed under: Escherichia coli
Lineage: Bacteria; Pseudomonadati; Pseudomonadota; Gammaproteobacteria; Enterobacterales; Enterobacteriaceae
Description: bacterial LSU rRNA
Rfam family: Bacterial large subunit ribosomal RNA
Source: RNAcentral